CCUACGGGAGGCAGCAGUGGGGAAUAUUGGGCAAUGGGCGCAAGCCUGACCCAGCAACGCCGCGUGAAGGAAGAAGGCUUUCGGGUUGUAAACUUCUUUUGACAGGGAAGAGUAGAAGACGGUACCUGUCGAAUAAGCCACGGCUAACUACGUGCCAGCAGCCGCGGUAAUACGUAGGUUGCAACCGUUGUCCGGCUUUACUGGGUGUAAAUGGCGUGUAGCCGGGUUCACAAGGCAGAUGUGAAAUCCUGCGGCUUAAACGGAGAACUGCAUUUGAAAUUGGUGAUCUUGAGUACUGGAGAGGCAGACAGAAUUACGAGUGUAGCGGUGAAAUGCGUAGAGAUGAGGAGGAACACCAGGGGCGAAGGCGGUCUGCUGGACAGCAACUGACGGUGAGGCGCGAAAGCGUGGGGAGCAAACAGGAUUAGAUACCCCAGUAGUC
Molecule: ribosomal RNA, 442 nt
Filed under: uncultured bacterium
Lineage: Bacteria
Description: partial 16S ribosomal RNA
Rfam family: Bacterial small subunit ribosomal RNA
Source: RNAcentral